GAUGAACGCUGGCGGCGUGCUUAACACAUGCAAGUCGAACGAUGAAGCCCAGCUUGCUGGGUGGAUUAGUGGCGAACGGGUGAGUAACACGUGAGUAACCUGCCCUUAACUCUGGGAUAAGCCUGGGAAACUGGGUCUAAUAUCGGAUAGGAGCGUCCACCGCAUGGUGGGUGUUGGAAAGAUUUAGCGGUUUUGGAUGGACUCGCGGCCUAUCAGCUUGUUGGUGAGGUAAUGGCUCACCAAGGCGACGACGGGUAGCCGGCCUGAGAGGGUGACCGGCCACACUGGGACUGAGACACGGCCCAGACUCCUACGGGAGGCAGCAGUGGGGAAUAUUGCACAAUGGGCGCAAGCCUGAUGCAGCGACGCCGCGUGAGGGAUGACGGCCUUCGGGUUGUAAACCUCUUUCAGUAGGGAAGAAGCGAAAGUGACGGUACCUGCAGAAGAAGCACCGGCUAACUACGUG
This 466-nucleotide ribosomal RNA is filed under the name uncultured bacterium. Its description in RNAcentral is "partial 16S ribosomal RNA". It matches the Rfam family "Bacterial small subunit ribosomal RNA", at positions 28 to 507 of the family's 1533-position model. The record is from RNAcentral.